RNAcentral lists this small RNA (444 nucleotides) under Arabidopsis thaliana (thale cress). RNAcentral describes it as "ATSL035270". The record is from RNAcentral. Lineage: Eukaryota; Viridiplantae; Streptophyta; Magnoliopsida; Brassicales; Brassicaceae.
UGUUUUGUUGGUUUAAUCCUCUUUUGGGAGAAAAUAGGUGUAAGUGUUGUAUGAACACUCCUAAUCCAUCUCUAACUCUUAUAAUAAGUCAAAUGCAUUGGAUUAUGAAACAUUUUGACCAUAGAAACACUAACAAAGUAAUUUACUGAUUCUAUGCAAUUUUUUGUUGGUUUUUUCUUCUUUUGAGAGAAACUUGGUAUAAGUGUUGUCUAAACACUCCUAAUCCAUCUCUAACUCUUAUAAUUAGUCUAAGGCUUUGGAUUGUGACAUAUUUUGACCAUAGAAACACUAACAAAGCUAGUUACUGCUUGUAAGCAAUUUUUUGUUGGUUUUAGUCUCUUUUAGGAGAAAAUGGGAAUAAGUGUUGUCUAAACACUUCUAAUUCAUCUCUAACUCUUAUAAUUAAUCAAAGGCUUUGGAUUGUGACACAUUUUGACCUUUUUU